GUCGUUUCGGUUGUGCAUGCUUAUUUACUGUUCAACAUAAAGUUGUAGUUUUCCACACAGAACAGAAAUAACAGUUUACAGACCACCACUAUGGGAUCGGAGCAAAGCAGUCAAGCAAACUCUUCUCAGGCGUCAAGAAUCGGCCAGUUGCGGAGGGGGAAAUCCGUUCCGGAGUCGAAACGGACUCAAGAACAAGAGAACAUGGAAAGUUCUCGUCCUGGGAGCAUUUCUCCGGGACCCAGCGUCUGUUCUGAUUCAGAUCUUCCUUACAUAUCGUACACUGUUAAUCGACCAAUUGGAGAUUCUCCCAAACUCCCAGUCAAACAGCAGGGUCAGCUAAGUCGAGGCAAGAGUCUGGGAGCUACUGGAGGACUUCUGUCCUCGCCCGGGCGCCGAGUUGGUCUGCGCAAAGCAACCACUCCCCGCACUGCUGUUACUGUUCCUGCGCACAACAUAGUCGUCGUCAAACCUGCUCUUGCGCAGGAAACAACAGACAAAGAUGUUGACAUUUUACGCCUUCAGAGUAUUCCGAUGUUCCUCCCGAUCAUGAGAGGUACUCUUAACUUACCUGCAGCUCGAGACCCGGAAGUUCUAGAGCGUCUAGAUCCUAGCGCACUCUACCGUCUCUGUCUUCAUUAUCAAGACUACCUUCGUCAAUCCGCCUCCUUGGUAGCAGACGAACAGACUUCUAUCUCCAUCAAAAUAAAGGAGAUUGACAAUGAAGUAACGAGGUUCCUGCAGUUGAUGACUGAGCGACAAAAGACGUUUGCCAAGUACGCUGAACGUCUAGCCAAGGUGAGCGACGUGUCUCAUCAACUCAACCGAUGCCACUUACUACUCAACCAAACCCUGGAUACUCUCGAGUCGCUCAACAAUUCUCUUCCUUCAGAUGAACGACUCGAACCAUUUGUCUGGACUACUGGUUAGCAUAUGGUGUAAAUUAGGAGUGUAUAUUUUUUAUAUAAAAUUACUGCUGGUUUCAAAUGUGAUCCUAGGUUUUAAAAUAUUAAAUUUAAGCUCUAAUGGCAUCGAUUUGUUUUUAUAGUAUAAGUUAUCACAUGGCAUUGUGUAUGUUAAGUUACAUAUCAUUCCUUUUGCACCAUUCGCUAAUACUACUGAGAUUAAGCUGUAGAUCUGUCGUGAUACUUUGAUUAUACUGGGUAAUUUUUUGUUAUGUCCUACCUUAACAUCCUAGGACGCUAGGUUUUAGCCCGGAACUGUUUACACAUUACUAAGGGCUAGACAGAGAGGGUCGCGAGGUUAUCUCAUAGUUAAACCCAAUAGGUGAUUGGCGGGAUUUGAACCAGGGACCUCAGCAAAGCCCAAAGCCAGAGGCUCUACCUCUAGAACAGCUCGCUUCCCAAUGGGGUAAUUGGGGAAGACAACGUGUAACUAUAAGCACAUUUAAUCCAUCAGGGUUUAAAUUUGGUACCGGUACAAACAUUUAAACCUACGUUUAUUCAAACGAGAUAGCAGACGUAAAUUUUAAUUAGGGUUACAGUUUGCUUGUUUGUGGAUAUAUCUUGAUCAAACUUGAUAAAUUUAUAUAAUUUAUACUAAGCUGUUAACAUUUUACUAAAAAGCACACUUUAUUACCUAAAAAUUAAAUUAUCAGCUUUGCUGCAAAGAACUGUUCAAGAUUUAGUUAGUUGCACUAGUAUGUAGUUUGAUUAGUAUGUAGUUGCAUUAGUAAGUAGUUUGAUUAGUAUGUAGUUGCAUUAGUAAGUAGUUUGAUUAGUAUGUAGUUGCAUUAGUUUGUAGUUGCAUUAGUAAGUAGUUUUAUUAGUAUGUAGUUGCAUUAGUAUGCAGUAUGUAGUUUGAUUUGUGCAUGUUUUUUAGAGAUAGUUUUGUUUUUUCCUACAGUCAAUUUUUUUUUUUUUUGGUAAUGGUAGGAAAAAUAGAAUGUGCAACGCGAGUGCAAAUUGCAAUUGUUCACUAGUUGCAGAAAUUACUAUUGUCCAACCUUUAAGUAAUAGACGCUAGGUUCUAGCCUGGAAAUGUUUUCCACAUUAGUUCAGGCUAGUAAAUAACAUCUAUUGGAGAUUAGGUGGAUCUAAACCCAGGACCUCAGGCUCGGGCUGUCUCUCUGGACCUCUCUCUCGCAAGGGUGACUCGUUAUCGACGAUCCUCUUAUCAAGGUUUUACUGUAGUUCAUCAGUGUAGAAUGAUAAAUGAAAUGAAGAUUUCAAAAAGUAAAAUUGUCAGCUUUGCUGCAAAGAACUUUUCAAGUGCUAGCCGGGAUAGUGGAAGUCACUGUACUUUGUCAGUCAUGGACCUAGUGCAGGAAAGGUGGAUUUACUAAGACUCUCUCUAUCCAACCACCACGCUAGGGCUUUGAUGGUGAAGGCCUGUAUCAACCAAGCACUGAACAUAACAUGGGAUUUGAUUUAACAUCGUCAGUCCUGAGUUUUAUUACAAUCCUGUACUCAAUUGAGACGAUUUGUACACUAUAGUGUACUUAAGUUUUAAGUGAAAUUUCCAGGGCAAAAAAGAUGUCAUGACUUUGGGAUUUUCUUGUUACACCAAGUUGAGAAAUUGCUCAGAUGUCGAAAGAAAUAUCACAGCCAGCAAAACAAAGUGUUAUCACUGAUGUAGUCAAUGUAGUGAUCUAGUAAAAACUACAACUACAAGUGAUAGUGACACCGGUCAGUACAUGGUGCCUGCGGUGGUGGGGAUGCAUUAUCUUCAUACAUUUUGUGACCAAAUAACGGUGUAAAUACCUGCGUUUAUGAAUUGGUACUUAACACUGCUGUUUUCUUGUUUUGAUUUUUUUUGCCUUGCAUGGUGUGUUGCUUUGUAGAUGUUGUUUGCUUUUAACUGUUUUUUGUGUGUGCUUGCAUUAGUAUUUAGUUUCAUUAGUAUGUAGUUGCAUUAGUUUGUAGUAUGUAGUUUGAUUUGUGCAUGUUUUUUUAGAGAUAGUUUUGUUUCACUGUCAGUGGCAAUGAAAGGUUAUGAAUGAACAAAACCUUAACCUCUCUUAAAAGGUUAAAAGUUAUGAGUACAGUAGUGAUUUUUAGUAUUUAAAACACUAGAGAGCCGGGCUGGGGCUCUCUCUCGGGACCUCUCUCUCGUUGACGUCGCUGCUCCCUGUGGCCAGGUGAUGGACGUUAGUGUCACAGCCCAACAGCAGGUGACUCCUUUCCCUGACUCCGUAUUCUACCACCAUCGUCAUUUCUCUGGUCAAUGGUGGUUCCCGGGAGUCCUUUGCAUAUUAUGUUAUUGUAAAAAGGUGAUAUCCGUUGGAAUCAAUAAAUAAAUGACAUCGGGAGCGAUAGUCCCACAGUAGUGGUACUAUGACUACUAGUGGUAUAUGAAUUUGGUACUUAGCACUGCUGUUUUCCUGUUUUGAUUUUUUUUGCCUUGCAUGGUGUGUUGCUUUGUAGAUGUUUGCUUUUAACUGUUUUUUGUGUGUGCAUGCAUUAGUAUGUAGUUGCAUUAGUAUGUAGUUUCAUUAGUAUGUAGUUGCAUUAGUUUGUAGUAUGUAGUUUGAUUUGUGCAUGUUUUUUUAGAGAUAGUUUUGUUUCACUGUCAGUGACAAUGAAGACCAUGAACGAACCCUUAACCUCUCUUAAAAGGUUAAAAGUUAUGAGUACUGUAGUGAUUUUUAGUAUUUAAAACGCUAGAGAGCCGGGCUGGGGCUCUCCCUCAGGACCUCUCUCUCGUUGACGUCGUUGCUCCCUGUGGCCAGGUGAUGGACGUUAGUGUCACAGCCCAACAGCAGGUGACUCCUUUCCCUGACUCCGUAUUCUACCACCAUCGUCAUUUCUCUGGUCAAUGGUGGUUCCCAGGAGUGUCCUUUGCAUAUUAUGUUAUUGUAAAAAGGUGAUAUCCGUUGGAAUCAAUAAAUAAAGGACAUCAGGAGCGAUAGUACCACAGUUGUGGUACUAUGACUACUAGAUGUUGUUUGCUUUUAACUGUUUUUUAUGUGUGCAUGCAUUAGUAUUUAGUUUCAUUAGUAUGUAGUUGCAUUAGUAUGUAGUUGCAUUAGUAUGUAGUUGCAUUAGUAUGUAGUUUCAUUAGUAUGUAGUUGCAUUAGUUUGUAGUAUGUAGUUUGAUUUGUGCAUGUUUUUUUAGAGAUAGUUUUGUUUCACUGUCAGUGGCAAUGAAAGGUUAUGAACGAAACCCUAAAAGGUAUGAGUUGUGAUUAUUAGUAUUUAAAACGCUAGAGAGCCGGGCUGGGGCUCUCUCUCAGGACCUCUCUCUCGUUGACGUCGCUGCUCCCUGUGGCCAGGUAAUGGACGUUAGUGUCAGGCGCUGAGGUCGUGGGGGAGCUGAGGUCCUGGGGGCGCUGAGGUCCAGGGAGAGCUGAGGUCCUGGGGGCGCUGAGGUCCUGGUGGCGCUGAGGUCCAGGGGGAGCUGAGGUCCUGGGG
Macrosteles quadrilineatus (aster leafhopper) is the source of this 4370-nucleotide RNA transcript. It is a transcript of the gene named BLOC-1-related complex subunit 5, with no coding region annotated. The transcript has 6 exons. The record is from RefSeq and is a predicted model, not a curated record. Lineage: Eukaryota; Metazoa; Arthropoda; Insecta; Hemiptera; Cicadellidae.